This 980-nucleotide long non-coding RNA is filed under the name Homo sapiens (human). RNAcentral describes it as "HSALNT0039041". Lineage: Eukaryota; Metazoa; Chordata; Mammalia; Primates; Hominidae. The record is from RNAcentral.
AGAGCAUGCCAAUAACGAUGGAAGAGCAGCUGCACCUGGUUCAUGCAGUAAACAUCUGUUAGCUUAUCGGAAUGCAUUCCUCUUACUGGUUUUGCUUCGGGGCCUCCUCUCACAUUGGAUAGUCAAUGGGUGGUGGUGUGGUUGUCAAUGAACGUGCAUUAUUAUCGGUCAGAACCCCAAAAGGAAAUCAGUGGCACAUUCAAACUGGAUACAUCCAGAAGCUGGAAACUAGUUCAGCCCUUUGAUGUCAUCCUCUAAGGAGACAGAGCAGAAUGGAGAAAACAGGUAAGUAAACCUGAAGGCUAUGUCUAGCACAGCCCCUGGGGCUCAGGAACCACAAUUCACAGCAAAGCUGAGAAUUCAACGUCUCUUCCUGGAGUUCAGCUUCCGAGCUCUUGGUACAGGCAUACUUCAUUUUAUGGCGCUUUGUAGAUAUUGAGUUUUGCUUUGCUUUGUUCUUUAGCGACAGGGUCUCACUCUUUCUCCUAAGCUGGAGUGCAGUGGCACAGUCAGAGCUCACUAUAACCUCAAAUUCCUGGGCUCAAACGAUCCUCCAGCCUCAGUCUCCCAAGGAGCUAGUGUUAGGUUUUGCAGGGAAGGUAAGGGACACCCACACAGAGAGGGCAGCUCGACAGCAAAUGCAGGCUUAUGUCCAGCAUAAAACCUACAGAAGUGGGGAACCAUCCUAAUGCCAGUGCCCACAACUGCUUAUAUGCUGGGGGUACUUAUAGCUAUGGGCGGGAGGGGUCUGAGCAGCGUGGCUUGCUGCCUGGCAGGAUAUUGAAAAGAUGUUCCCGUGAUGAGGUGGUUCUGGCCCUUGUUCCGGUGGGCUGUCAUCGUGAUGUUCCUUGGAUCUUUGCCCACCAAGAUAUGAUAGGGAUGUUUCUUUAAUACGGCCUUUGUCCGCCUUGUGGUCAGGUGGUUAGGCAGAAUGUUUCUCAUGGCCCAAACCCCUGUAAAAUGUUUUGCUUUAACCAAAG